GCGUCGAGCGGCGGACGGGUGAGUAAUACUUAGGAAUCUACCUAGUAGUGGGGGGUAGCACGGGGAAAUUUUUUUUAAUACCGCAUACGACCUACGGGGGAAAGGGGGCAGUUUAUUGCUUUCGCUAUUAGAUGAGCCUAAGUCGGAUUAGCUAGAUGGUGGGGUAAAGGCCUACCAUGGCGACGAUCUGUAGCUGGUCUGAGAGGAUGAUCAGCCACACCGGGACUGAGACACGGCCCGGACUCCUACGGGAGUAUUGCAGCAGUGGGGAAUAUUGGACAAUGGGGGAAACCCUGAUCCAGCCCAUGCCGCGUGUGUGAAGAAGGCCUUUUGGUUGUAAAGCACUUUAAGCAGUGAAGAAGACUCUUCGGUUAAUACCCGGAGACGAUGACAUUAGCUGCAGAAUAAGCACCGGCUAACUCUGUGCCAGCAGCCGCGGUAAUACAGAGGGUGCAAGCGUUAAUCGGAAUUACUGGGCGUAAAGCGAGCGUAGGUGGCUUGAUAAGUCAGAUGUGAAAUCCCCGGGCUUAACCUGGGAACUGCAUCUGAAACUGUUAGGCUAGAGUAGGUGAGAGGGAAGUAGAAUUUCAGGUGUAGCGGUGAAAUGCGUAGAGAUCUGAAGGAAUACCGAUGGCGAAGGCAGCUUCCUGGCAUCAUACUGACACUGAGGCUCGAAAGCGUGGGUAGCAAACAGGAUUAGAUACCCUGGUAGUCCACGCCGUAAACGAUGUCUACUAGUCGUUGGGUCCCUUGAGGACUUAGUGACGCAGCUAACGCAAUAAGUAGACCGCCUGGGGAGUACGGCCGCAAGGUUAAAACUCAAAUGAAUUGACGGGGGCCCGCACAAGCGGUGGAGCAUGUGGUUUAAUUCGAUGCAACGCGAAGAACCUUACCUGGUCUUGACAUAUCUAGAAUCCUGCAGAGAUGCGGGAGUGCCUUUGGGAAUUAGAAUACAGGUGCUCCAUGGCUGUCGUCAGCUCGUGUCGUGAGAUGUUGGGUUAAGUCCCGCAACGAGCGCAACCUUUGUCCUUAGUUACCAGCGGGUUAAGCCGGGAACUCUAAGGAUAUUGCCUGUGACAAACUGGAGGAAGGCGGGGACGACGUCACGUCAUCCUGGCCCUUACGACCAGGGCUACACACGUGUUACAAUGGUAGGUACAGAGGGCAGCUACACAGCGAUGUGAUGCGAAUCUCAAAAAGCCCAUCGUAGUCCAGAUUGGAGUCUGCAACUCGACUCC
This 1238-nucleotide ribosomal RNA is filed under the name Psychrobacter glacincola. RNAcentral's name for it is "bacterial SSU rRNA". It matches the Rfam family "Bacterial small subunit ribosomal RNA", at positions 88 to 1319 of the family's 1533-position model. The record is from RNAcentral. Lineage: Bacteria; Pseudomonadati; Pseudomonadota; Gammaproteobacteria; Moraxellales; Moraxellaceae.